This 569-nucleotide ribosomal RNA is filed under the name uncultured bacterium. RNAcentral's name for it is "partial 16S ribosomal RNA". It matches the Rfam family "Bacterial small subunit ribosomal RNA", at positions 355 to 914 of the family's 1533-position model. The record is from RNAcentral.
UGGGGAAUAUUGCACAAUGGGCGCAAGCCUGAUGCAGCCAUGCCGCGUGUGUGAAGAAGGCCUUCGGGUUGUAAAGCACUUUCAGCGAGGAGGAAGGUGGUGAGCUUAAUACGCUCAUCAAUUGACGUUACUCGCAGAAGAAGCACCGGCUAACUCCGUGCCAGCAGCCGCGGUAAUACGGAGGGUGCAAGCGUUAAUCGGAAUUACUGGGCGUAAAGCGCACGCAGGCGGUUUGUUAAGUCAGAUGUGAAAUCCCCGGGCUCAACCUGGGAACUGCAUUUGAAACUGGCAAGCUAGAGUCUCGUAGAGGGGGGUAGAAUUCCAGGUGUAGCGGUGAAAUGCGUAGAGAUCUGGAGGAAUACCGGUGGCGAAGGCGGCCCCCUGGACGAAGACUGACGCUCAGGUGCGAAAAGCGUGGGGCAGCAAACAGGAUUAGAUACCCUGGUAGUCCACGCUGUAAACGAUGUCGAUUUGGAGGUUGUGCCCUUGAGGCGUGGCUUCCGGAGCUAACGCGUUAAAUCGACCGCCUGGGGAGUACGGCCGCAAGGUUAAAACUCAAAUGAAUUGAC